RNAcentral lists this ribosomal RNA (466 nucleotides) under uncultured bacterium. Its description in RNAcentral is "partial 16S ribosomal RNA". It matches the Rfam family "Bacterial small subunit ribosomal RNA", at positions 28 to 507 of the family's 1533-position model. The record is from RNAcentral.
GAUGAACGCUGGCGGCGUGCUUAACACAUGCAAGUCGAACGGAAAGGCUCCUGCUUGCAGGGGUACUCGAGUGGCGAACGGGUGAGUAACACGUGGGUGAUCUGCCCUGCACUUCGGGAUAAGCCUGGGAAACUGGGUCUAAUACCGGAUAGGACGAUGGUUUGGAUGCCAUUGUGGAAAGUUUUUUCGGUGUGGGAUGAGCUCGCGGCCUAUCAGCUUGUUGGUGGGGUAAUGGCCUACCAAGGCGUCGACGGGUAGCCGGCCUGAGAGGGUGUACGGCCACAUUGGGACUGAGAUACGGCCCAGACUCCUACGGGAGGCAGCAGUGGGGAAUAUUGCACAAUGGGCGCAAGCCUGAUGCAGCGACGCCGCGUGGGGGAUGACGGCCUUCGGGUUGUAAACUCCUUUCGCUAGGGACGAAGCGCAAGUGACGGUACCUGGAGAAGAAGCACCGGCCAACUACGUG